UGCGUAGGCGGGGCAAUUAGUCAGUGGUGAAAUCCUGCGGCUUAACCGUAGAACUGCCAUUGAUACUGUUGCCCUUGAGUAUAGUUGAGAUGGGCGGAAUGUGUAAUGUAGCGGUGAAAUGCAUAGAGAUUACACAGAACACCAAUUGCGAAGGCAGCUCACUAAGCUAUAACUGACGCUGAGGCACGAAAGCAUGGGGAGCGAACAGGAUUAGAUACCCUGGUAGUCC
This 229-nucleotide ribosomal RNA is filed under the name uncultured bacterium. Its description in RNAcentral is "partial 16S ribosomal RNA". It matches the Rfam family "Bacterial small subunit ribosomal RNA", at positions 568 to 796 of the family's 1533-position model. The record is from RNAcentral.